This 478-nucleotide ribosomal RNA is filed under the name uncultured bacterium. RNAcentral describes it as "partial 16S ribosomal RNA". It matches the Rfam family "Bacterial small subunit ribosomal RNA", at positions 29 to 507 of the family's 1533-position model. The record is from RNAcentral.
AUGAACGCUAGCGGGAGGCCUCACACAUGCAAGCCGAGCGGUAGAGUCUCUUCGGAGACUUGAGAGCGGCGCACGGGUGCGGAACACGUGUGCAACCUGCCUUUAUCUGGGGGAUAGCCUUUCGAAAGGAAGAUUAAUACCCCAUAAUAUACUGGAUGGCAUCAUCUGGUAUUGAAAACUCCGGUGGAUAGAGAUGGGCACGCGCAAGUUUAGAUAGUUGGUGAGGUAACGGCUCACCAAGUCAGCGAUCUUUAGGGGGCCUGAGAGGGUGAUCCCCCACACUGGUACUGAGACACGGACCAGACUCCUACGGGAGGCAGCAGUGAGGAAUAUUGGACAAUGGGUGAGAGCCUGAUCCAGCCAUCCCGCGUGAAGGACGACGGCCCUAUGGGUUGUAAACUUCUUUUGGAUAGGGAUAAACCUAGAUACGUGUAUCUAGCUGAAGGUACUAUACGAAUAAGCACCGGCUAACUCAGUG